This 417-nucleotide ribosomal RNA is filed under the name uncultured archaeon. RNAcentral describes it as "bacterial SSU rRNA". It matches the Rfam family "Archaeal small subunit ribosomal RNA", at positions 583 to 997 of the family's 1478-position model. The record is from RNAcentral.
UACGCCAGACUUGGAACCGGGAGAGGUAAGAGGUACUACAGGGGUAGGAGUGAAAUCUUGUAAUCCCUGUGGGACCACCUGUGGCGAAGGCGUCUUACCAGAACGGGUUCGACGGUGAGGGACGAAAGCUGGGGGGCACGAACCGGAUUAGAUACCCGGGUAGUCCCAGCCGUAAACGAUGCUCGCUAGGUGUCAGGCAUGGCGCGACCGUGUCUGGUGCCGCAGGGAAGUCGUGAAGCGAGCCACCUGGGAAGUACGGCCGCAAGGCUGAAACUUAAAGGAAUUGGCGGGGGAGCACAACAACGGGUGGAGCCCUGCGGUUUAAUUGGACUCAACGCCGGACAACUCACCGGGGGCGACAGCAAUAUGUAGGCCAAGCUGAAGACUUUGCCUGAAUCGCUGAGAAGAGGUGCAUGG